ACGUAGGUGGCGAGCGUUGUCCGGAUUUACUGGGCGUAAAGGGCGUGCAGGCGGUUUGUUAAGUGCAGAGUGAAAGCUCCCGGCUCAACUGGGAGAGGUCUUUGCAUACUGGCAAACUCGAGGGAGGCAGAGGAAAGUGGAAUUCCCGGUGUAGUGGUGAUAUGCGUAGAUAUCGGGAGGAACACCUGUGGCGAAGGCGGCUUUCUGGGCCUUACCUGACGCUGAGACGCGAAAGCGUGGGGAGCGAACCGGAUUAGAUACCCGGGUAGUCCACGCCGUAAACUAUGGACACUAGGUGUGGGGGGUAUCGACCCCCUCCGUGCCGAAGCUAACGCAAUAAGUGUCCCGCCUGGGGAGUACGGCCGCAAGGCUA
RNAcentral lists this ribosomal RNA (373 nucleotides) under uncultured bacterium. Its description in RNAcentral is "bacterial SSU rRNA". It matches the Rfam family "Bacterial small subunit ribosomal RNA", at positions 525 to 896 of the family's 1533-position model. The record is from RNAcentral.